GACGAACGCUGGCGGCGUGCCUAAUACAUGCAAGUCGAGCGGACUGAUUAAGAGCUUGCUCUUAUGACGUUAGCGGCGGACGGGUGAGUAACACGUGGGCAACCUGCCCUGUAGAUCGGGAUAACACCGAGAAAUCGGUGCUAAUACCGGGUAAUAUCUGAGAUCACAUGAUCUUAGGUUAAAAGAUGGCUCCGGCUAUCACUACAGGAUGGGCCCGCGGCGCAUUAGCUAGUUGGUAAGGUAAUGGCUUACCAAGGCGACGAUGCGUAGCCGACCUGAGAGGGUGAUCGGCCACACUGGGACUGAGACACGGCCCAGACACCUCCGGGAGGCAGCAGUAGGGAAUCUUCCGCAAUGGACGAAAGUCUGACGGAGCAACGCCGCGUGAGUGAUGAAGGGUUUCGGCUCGUAAAGCUCUGUUGUUAGGGAAGAAACAGUACCGAACGAACUAGGUCGGUACCUUGACGGUACCUAACCAGAAAGCCACGGCUAACUACGUG
RNAcentral lists this ribosomal RNA (500 nucleotides) under uncultured bacterium. RNAcentral describes it as "partial 16S ribosomal RNA". It matches the Rfam family "Bacterial small subunit ribosomal RNA", at positions 28 to 507 of the family's 1533-position model. The record is from RNAcentral.